Arabidopsis suecica is the source of this 102-nucleotide non-coding RNA. Lineage: Eukaryota; Viridiplantae; Streptophyta; Magnoliopsida; Brassicales; Brassicaceae. The record is from the annotation of a GenBank genome assembly.
GUCCCUUCGGGGACAUCCGAUAAAAUUGGAACGAUACAGAGAAGAUUAGCAUGGCCCCUGCGCAAGGAAUCUUUUCCUUUGUGCCAUCGAUGCCUCUGUUUU